RNAcentral lists this ribosomal RNA (496 nucleotides) under uncultured bacterium. Its description in RNAcentral is "partial 16S ribosomal RNA". It matches the Rfam family "Bacterial small subunit ribosomal RNA", at positions 29 to 507 of the family's 1533-position model. The record is from RNAcentral.
AUGAACGCUGGCGGCGUGCCUAAUACAUGCAAGUCGAGCGAACAGACGAGGAGCUUGCUCCUCUGACGUUAGCGGCGGACGGGUGAGUAACACGUGGAUAACCUACCUAUAAGACUGGGAUAACUUCGGGAAACCGGAGCUAAUACCGGAUAAUAUAUUGAACCGCAUGGUUCAAUAGUGAAAGACGGUUUUGCUGUCACUUAUAGAUGGAUUCGCGCCGCAUUAGCUAGUUGGUAAGGUAACGGCUUACCAAGGCAACGAUGCGUAGCCGACCUGAGAGGGUGAUCGGCCACACUGGAACUGAGACACGGUCCAGACUCCUACGGGAGGCAGCAGUAGGGAAUCUUCCGCAAUGGGCGAAAGCUUGACGGAGCAACGCCGCGUGAGUGAUGAAGGUCUUCGGAUCGUAAAACUCUGUUAUUAGGGAAGAACAAAUGUGUAAGUAACUAUGCACGUCUUGACGGUACCUAAUCAGAAAGCCACGGCUAACUACGUG